CGGUGGAGCAUGUGGUUUAAUUCGACGCAACGCGAAGAACCUUACCAGGGCUUGACAUCCCUGACCGCGUAUGAAAGUACGUUUUCACCCUCGGGUGACAGGGAGACAGGUGGUGCAUGGUUGUCGUCAGCUCGUGUCGUGAGAUGUUGGGUUAAGUCCCGCAACGAGCGCAACCCCUAUUGUUAGUUGCCAUCAUUCAGUUGGGCACUCUAGCGAGACUGCCGGUAAUAAACCGGAGGAAGUGGGGAUGACGUCAAAUCAUCAUGCCCCUUAUGACCUGGGCUACACACGUGCUACAAUGGUUGGUACAACGAGUUGCGAGUCGGUGACGGCGAGCUAAUCUCUUAAAGCCAAUCUCAGUUCGGAUUGUAGGCUGCAACUCGCCUACAUGAAGUCGGAAUCGCUAGUAAUCGCGGAUCAGCACGCCGCGGUGAAUACGUUCCCGGGCCUU
This 451-nucleotide ribosomal RNA is filed under the name uncultured Streptococcus sp. RNAcentral's name for it is "bacterial SSU rRNA". It matches the Rfam family "Bacterial small subunit ribosomal RNA", at positions 930 to 1382 of the family's 1533-position model. Lineage: Bacteria; Bacillati; Bacillota; Bacilli; Lactobacillales; Streptococcaceae. The record is from RNAcentral.